Molecule: long non-coding RNA, 3156 nt
Filed under: Homo sapiens (human)
Lineage: Eukaryota; Metazoa; Chordata; Mammalia; Primates; Hominidae
Description: HSALNT0198531
Source: RNAcentral
CCAAAAGGUGGAGGCAGCCCGAGUGUCCAUCGAUGGAUGAAUGGAUACACAAAUGCGCUAUAAACAGACAAUGGAAUAUUAUUCUGCCUUAAAAAGAAAGGAACUUCUGACACGUGCUACAACAUGAGUGAAACUUGAAGAUGGUAAGUUAAAUGAGCCAGACAGAAAAGGACGAAUACUGUAGGAUCCCACUUAUAUGAGGUACCUAAAAUAGUCUAAUUCAUAGAGACAAAGUACAAACCAUUUUUAACGUAAGAUGGCUUGACUUAUGGUUUUUUUACUUUACAGUGGUGAAAAAUCAGUAUGCAUUCAGUAGCAACUGUACUUUGAGUACCCAUAUGAUAUGGUUUGAAUUCUCACCUUGAAUUGUAAUAAUCCCCACAUGUCAAGGGUGGAGAUAACUGAGUCAUGGGGGCAGUUUCCACCAUACUGUUCUCAUGAUAGUGAAUAAGUCUCAUGAUAUCUGAUGGUUUUAUAAAUGGGAGUUUGCCUGCACAAGCUCUGUCUUGCCUGCCUGCCUUGCCUGCCUGCCGCCAUGUAAGAUGUGACUUUGCUCCUCCUUUGCCUUCUGCCAUGAUUGUGAGGCCUCCUCAGCCAUGUGGAACUGUGAGUCAAUUAAACCUCUUUCCUUUAUAAAUUACCCAAUCUCCCAUAUGUCUGUAUCAGCAGUGUGAGAACACACUAAUACACCAUAGAACCAUUCUGAGCAUUUACUGAGCACUUACUAUUAGAGCUUCUCACUUUUAGUACAGUAUUUAAUACAUUACGUGGGAUAUUUUGUACUUUAUUGGAAAAUAAGCCUUAUGUUAGGUGAUUUUGCCCAACUGUAGGCUACUGUGAGUGUUCUGAGCACGUUUAAGGUAGGCUGGGCUAAGCUGUGAUGUUCAGUAGGUUAGGGGCAUGGAAUGCAUUGUCAACUUUCUGUGGGUUUAUCUGGACCUAACCCCAUCAUAAGUCAAGGAGCAUCUGUAGAAUGGUGGUUUUUCAGGAGCUAGGGGAAGGGGAAUGGGAAAAUGUUGUUUAAUGACUGUGGAGUUUCAGUUUUACAAGAUGAAAAGUGUUCUGGAGUGUGGCUGCACAAUGGUGUGGAUGUUCUUAACACUGCUGAAGAGGACACAUACAAAUGAUUAAGAUGCAUAUAAAUCUCUCGGAGGCAGAAAACAUGUCUGAAAUCUACAGCAUGUAGAUUUCAUACAGGGCACAGUGGUUGACCAGUAAUGAGUUCCUGCAGGAGGGGACCCUUCCAGUGAAUGUAGACCUGGAAAAUGAGAUUGUCCUAUUUAUUCCUCUGAAUAUUCCCCAGCAUCUAUCACAGUGCUCUUUAUAAACUCAGCCCUCACGGAACCCUAAAAGCUGGCUAAGGGGCCAUUCUCCUCGCCACCUGGGCCUGCGUCUGCCGAAUCGCUUCCUAAGGACUUUGACUAGAAACCAAAGGUCCCAUUUUUCAUCUGCCAUUUAUUUAUCAUUGCAUAACUUAGUGAAAGCAUAUUGACUUUCCUGACUUCUUAUGACCACAUUUGAGGAAAGGAGUAAGCACUGGAAUCACCAACACAGCAUGCUUACGGAGGGUGGUCACCAGCUUCAUCAGCCUCCCAAUUCCACGGAGCCCCUUGAAAAUCCAGGAGCGCAGACUGGCAACAGUAGAGAUUUAAUAGGAGUUUACUGGAGGUUAUACUCCAGUCAAAGAAGAUGGAAACCAAGAAAGGACACAUUUUGGAGAUUAGCACUGGCUCCAGGAACCCAGUGAACAGAAGACUCAGGCUGAAGGCUUGUGCAUUCAGCCCAGAGAAAAUCCACUUAAAUUCAGAACAAUUAAGGACUCUGGGGAAGAAGGACUUCACAUGGUAGUGUGAUUGGAAGGCAGAUAAAUUUUAGGACACAAUGGAAGUUCCUAAGAUUUUUUAUCCUUUUCCAAUAGGAAGGAUAAAAAAAUCAUCUAAAACUAGAGGAAAAAUCAUCUAAAACAAGGUAUAAAGAAAUGGCUCACGUGUGACCCUUAUUUUACUGUGACAUGGAGCAUUUGAUGAAGGAUGUGGGAAGGGAGCCUGCUUAACUAUGAAGUGAGUAGCAUCGCCCCAGGAGCACCAUGACAGAUGCACAGGACAUGGAGGGAAGGAAAUGGCAUCCUGGCACAGCCCUGGCUCUACAUUGAGCAAUGUAGACAAAAUCAUAAAGGCUGCUCUAGUUUUCUACUUUUAGAAUCAACCUACAGACAUGUAAGACUUAAUUGUAGUUGUAGAAUAAAAGAUAAAAGAUUAUUGGCUUUCAUAACAAUAAAGUCCUAACAAUGAUUCACAGUUAUUCCAUGAAUAAGGGUAGGGGAAAAGAGGGAGGAAUGUAAGGCAUUUUAUAUGGAGCAAGGGAGGCAAAAGACGUUGACAGAGGCUUAUGGAACAACACACACACGCACACAAAUAGAAGGAAUAUAUUGCUUAAAAUGACAAAAAUAGCCAACAUAGGCUGGGUGCGGUGGCUCAUGCCUGUAAUCCCAGCACUUUGGGAGGCUGAGGCGGACGGAUCACUUGAAGCCAGGAGUUCAAGACCAGCCUGGCCAACAUGGUGAAACCCCGUCUCUACUAAAAAUACAAAAAUUGACUGGGCGCAGUGGUGUGCAUCUGUAGUUCCAACUACUUGGGAGGCUGAGGCAGGAGAAUCACUUGAAUCCGGGAGGCGGAGGUUGCAGUGAGCCGAGAUCACGCCACUGCAUCCUAGCCUGGGUGACAGAGUGAGACCGUCUGAAAAAGAAAAAAGCCAACAUAGGAAUUUUUAAAAUAAUAUAUAAUUACCAAAAAUUGGGGAAAAUAGAGACAGGGAAGGCAGUUCUAUAAGCGAGAUAAAUCUUUAUCUUUUGUAUCAGAAAGUCAAUAAAUAUUGUCUGAAUUUGAUUGGUUAUUUCCAUUUUUAUGAAAUGUCUACAAUAGGCAAAUCUAUAGAACCAGUAAAGAAAUUAGGAAUUCCUGUGGCUGGGACUGAAGAGUGAAAUCACUGCAAGUGGUCAAGAGGGAUCUUCUGAAGUGAUAGGUGUGUUCUAAAAUUGGGCUGUGGGGAUGCUUGCACAACUCUGUAACUUUGCUAAAAUUCAUUUCAUUACACAUUUAGUGAGUUUUAUGAUAUGUACAUUACCCAUCAAUAAAGCUGUGUUAAAAAAAAGGCUGA